RNAcentral lists this ribosomal RNA (480 nucleotides) under uncultured Sphingobacteriales bacterium. RNAcentral's name for it is "bacterial SSU rRNA". It matches the Rfam family "Bacterial small subunit ribosomal RNA", at positions 900 to 1382 of the family's 1533-position model. The record is from RNAcentral. Lineage: Bacteria; Pseudomonadati; Bacteroidota; Sphingobacteriia; Sphingobacteriales.
CUUAAAGGAAUUGACGGGGGCCCGCACAAGCGGUGGAGCAUGUGGUUUAAUUCGAUGAUACGCGAGGAACCUUACCUGGGCUCAAAUGUAUGUUGACGUAUUCUGAAAGGGAUACUUCUUCGGACAAUAUACAAGGUGCUGCAUGGUUGUCGUCAGCUCGUGCCGUGAGGUGUCGGGUUAAGUCCCAUAACGAGCGCAACCCCUAUCAUUAGUUGCCAUCAGGUCAAGCUGGGGACUCUAAAGGAACUGCCUACGCAAGUAGUGAGGAAGGCGGGGAUGACGUCAAAUCAGCACGGCCCUUACGUCCAGGGCUACACACGUGCUACAAUGGCCGAUACAGAGGGCAGCUACCUGGUGACAGGAUGCAAAUCUCCAAAGUCGGUCUCAGUUCGGAUCGGAGUCUGCAACCCGACUCCGUGAAGUUGGAUUCGCUAGUAAUCGCGCAUCAGCCAUGGCGCGGUGAAUACGUUCCCGGGCCUU